GAGCAGAACCAAGAAAACAUUGUACACAGAGACUGGCACACUGUGGUACAAUCGAAGAUUGCUGACCACUUGUUCCCCCUUUCCCAGCAACAUUUGACUGCCAAUUUCAUGCUGUUUACCCCAGAGACUUACUUUUACUAGAAGGGAAUGUUUUAUGGACCAUCUGUAACUCUAGUCCAAUGGAAAAUGUGCCGGAUUUACAGUCAGAGGAUGUAAGUUAUAUUAGUUUUGCCACUUUCUGGCUACAUGUCCUUGGGCAAGAUAUUUGACUUCUCUGGAAUUCAGUUCCUCAUCAGUAAAAUGAGGGGGUUGGAGUAGAUGGCCUCUGAACUCCCUUCCAACUCUAUAUCUAAUCUUAUCUAUGAAUUUAUUUCCCAGAAUCUAAUCACCCUGGAGUAAACUGAUAAAAUCAAUACUCUGAAUCUGCAAACAGGAG
Molecule: long non-coding RNA, 436 nt
Filed under: Monodelphis domestica (gray short-tailed opossum)
Lineage: Eukaryota; Metazoa; Chordata; Mammalia; Didelphimorphia; Didelphidae
Description: lncRNA (ENSMODG00000043577.1)
Source: RNAcentral